UUCUGAUAAAGCCUCCGAGAUCUUCGAAGGCCCUCUCUUUCUGCUCGACGCUCAUUGAAGGAAAUAGUAUUAGCUCGUAUGGCUAUCAAGAUCACCUUUAUGCUGAUGACACCCAGCUGUAUUUUUAAACUCCUGAGCUCUUCCCAAAUGUUCAGCAGUAGUUGUCAUGAUGUCUUGCUGUUUCUGCAUGGAUGAAUCACCGACAUUUAAAACUCAGCAUGGCCAAAACACAGACCCAGGCCACUACCAAGUCAUGUAGAUGUUUUCACUACAAUCUUGCCAGAAUUAGGCCUUUUCUUUUUGUUUUGAAGGCCAACAUUUUAAUGCAUGCACUGGUGGACUCAUGCUUAUGGGAGAACAAAAUGUCACAGACUGUCAUACUAGAAAAUGAAAAAAAGGAAGUAUGGUUGUAUAUAUCACCAGUUCUUUUCCAGAAAUGAAAUUAGAAGACUGAUAAGUGCUGACCCAUCAAAUGUUCUAGAAGGAAUGAACAGGGAAGUUAUGGGAGGGGUAGAGAUGGGUAAGAAUUUCAGUUUGUUUGUUUGUUUGUUCAAAUAAUAAACCAUACCUUCAUAAUU
Sceloporus undulatus (fence lizard) is the source of this 578-nucleotide long non-coding RNA. RefSeq lists it as uncharacterized. The transcript is spliced from 4 exons. Lineage: Eukaryota; Metazoa; Chordata; Lepidosauria; Squamata; Phrynosomatidae. The record is from RefSeq and is a predicted model, not a curated record.